RNAcentral lists this ribosomal RNA (427 nucleotides) under uncultured bacterium. RNAcentral's name for it is "bacterial SSU rRNA". It matches the Rfam family "Bacterial small subunit ribosomal RNA", at positions 355 to 774 of the family's 1533-position model. The record is from RNAcentral.
UAGGGAAUAUUGGACAAUGGGGGCAACCCUGAUCCAGCCAUGCCGCGUGAGUGAAGAAGGCCCUCGGGUUGUAAAGCUCUUUUGUCCGGAAAGAAAAGCUUCGGGUUAAUACCCCGGGGUUCUGACGGUACCGGAAGAAUAAGCACCGGCUAACUUCGUGCCAGCAGCCGCGGUAAUACGAAGGGUGCAAGCGUUACUCGGAAUUACUGGGCGUAAAGCGUGCGUAGGUGGUUGUUUAAGUCUGAUGUGAAAGCCCUGGGCUCAACCUGGGAAUGGCAUUGGAAACUGGGCAGCUAGAGUGCGGUAGAGGGUAGUGGAAUUCCCGGUGUAGCAGUGAAAUGCGUAGAGAUCGGGAGGAACAUCUGUGGCGAAGGCGACUGCCUGGACCUGCACUGACACUGAGGCACGAAAGCGUGGGGAGCAAACA